Ahaetulla prasina is the source of this 1835-nucleotide long non-coding RNA. RefSeq lists it as uncharacterized. The record is from RefSeq and is a predicted model, not a curated record. The transcript is spliced from 3 exons. NCBI's taxonomy places the organism in Eukaryota, Metazoa, Chordata, Lepidosauria, Squamata, Colubridae.
ACGGAACAAGCUACAGAAUGCAAACAUGUUCUCCAGUUAUGAGAGCCAUAUCAGCUCCAGAGUGAAGCAAAAUAAUCCUUUGCAGUAAGCUGCUUUUCGUGGGAGAUGUGACACCUGUUUCCAGAUGUGUUGAGGGUUGAAUGGUUGAGCAACUGUGGUCUUUCAGAAGUUGCUGGAACUGCAGUUCCUGCCAGUGCUAGAUAUGAUCUCAGGACAAUGAAAGAAAAACAGUAUCUGGAAAGACCACUUCAUCUGUAUCUCAGCUCACUGGGAGAUUUCUUUGUAACAUUCUAUGCCAUGUGUCUUUUGGCAAAUUCCCAGAUGAAACUAGAACAUCUAUUUGUCUAUGAUCAGAACCAAAAUUAAUCCUGGCUAUCUUUAGUUUCACCUCACCGUUGAGCUGGUUGGACCAGAAUUAUAUCCUAUCAACAUCCUCAACAGUGAACCAUCUUUUGCCCAGAAGACCAAUUCAUAUUUAGGCAGGACAAGACCAAUGGAUGGAAGCUAAUCAAGGAAAGAACCAAACCAGAACUAAGAAGAAAUUUCCUAACAGAACAAUUCAUCAGUGGAAUGACUUUCCUCCAGAAGUUAUGGCCGCUUCAAUGCUGGAGGUUUUUAAGAAGAGAUUGGACAACCAUUUGUCUGAAAUGAUAUAGGUUUCCUGCUUGAGCAGAGGGUUGGAGUAGAAAACCUUUCCCUUUCAACUCUGCUAUUCUGUUCUGUUAUUCGUUUCUAGUUGUAUUACUCAGCCACCUCUUUGUACCUUAUUCCUAGCCAUCUAAUUUCCUAUGCUGUUUCCAUACAAAAUAACAAGGUAGCUAGUAACAAUGUCUGAAACCUAACUAUUUUUCUUUCUUUUUUAUUCCCCAAUCUGAAUUCCAGAGAAGAUCAUGAGUUGCCAAUCUGAAGACAUGUCUUUCAUAAAGAAUUAUCUGAGAAAGAGCAGCUGAUGUCUGGUUGACAGAAUGAGUAAUGCAAGUGACUCAUGACUUUCAAUUCUACUGUAGGGUUACAAUUAAAAAAAAAGGCAAUGGAAAAUUAAGGAAUAGUAAAAACACAGGAUACACAGGAUAAUAAUGCAUGUAAUCCAUUACUUAAUUUUUUCCAACUAUGGAACAAAUAAUGAGAAAAAAACCAAGAGAGACAUUAACAGCACUAUCUUGUCAGUUCCAUGCUCCCCUACAUAUGUUCACACAAAAUUAAGACCCAUUCCUGAUCAAUGAUUAUAGGAUUGCAGACUUUACACUAAUUUCAGACUGGAAAUUUGAAUGGAGGAGUUUUCGCUGAAAUACAAGCAGGAUCGUCCCAAGUCUUUAUGCAGUAUGAUGCACAGGUUUUAUCUGCUGCUAUCACUGGCCAUUGCCUCCUUUCCUUGGCAAGGGAUCCUGGGACUCCUGCCAAAAUACACAGAUGAACUUCCUACUAGGAUAAAAUGUGAUAAAGAUGCCCAUGAAAGGAGCCAAGUCUUUGCUGACUGUAUCCACACUGCUAUCUUGGUGGCAGUAUGGAGAUUUGCCAUUCCUUCUUCUGACAUGCUUUUUCCAACCUCCCAAUCUAACAGCUGUGGAGUUCAAAUGACAGCUUCUGAGAUCGCCAGACAGACAAGGACUAGGUUCUACCUCUGCUGAGAGUGCUGGCCACAAAAGGAAGGAAGCAUUUCAUUAUGGAUUACAUUUCCUCUUGGCAUGAGCGAUGGGGUAAUAUUCUAUUUUAGAUUUAGACCUACAAUUUUUAGGAAGUCAAAAUUAUUGCUUUCCUCCUCCUCCUCCUGAGUGAUGGGGCAAUUUUCCUUUGUUCCGCAGGAAAUUGGCUGGUGAAUUGUCCAGAAUGAUCAU